CUAGGAUGUUGGCUCAGAAGCAGCCAUACAUUCAAAGAGUGCGUAACAGCUCACUAGUCGAGAGUCCCUGCGCCGAAAAUGUCCGGGGCUGAAACACAACACCGAAGCCGUGGACUCCGUAAGGAGUGGUAGAGGAGCAUUCUUAAAACCGACGAAGCUGUACCGGAAGGAGCAGUGGAGGGAUAAGAAGAGAGAAUGCCGGAAUGAGUAGCGAGAGGAAGGUGGGAAUCCUUCCGGCCGAAUAUCUAAGGUUUCCAGAGUAAAGCUGAUCUGCUCUGGGUAAGUCGGGGCCUAAGGAGAGGUCGCAAGACGUAUCCGAUGGACAACAGGUUUAGAUUCCUGUACCGCAUAUAAACAGAACUGUGGGGACGCAUGUGGAAAGCACGAGCCGGGAAUGGAAAGACCGGUACAAGCGAGGUAGGAGUGUGACAGGCAAAUCCGUCAUACAAUCUGAAGACGUGAUGUGGAGUGAAAUUUCAGUAACGAAGCGUGUGAGCCAUGUGCCGAGAAAAGCCGCUAUUGUUUUAUAUGUGCCCGUACCGUAAACCGACACAGGUGGAUGAGGAGAGAAUCCUAAGGCCGACGGGAGAAGCAUUGUUAAGGAACUCGGCAAAAUGACCCCGUAACUUCGGGAGAAGGGGUGCCCACUGAAUGGUGGGCCGCAGAGAAUAGGCUCAAGCAACUGUUUAGCAAAAACACAGGUCUAUGCGAAACCGAAAGGUGAAGUAUAUGGGCUGACGCCUGCCCGGUGCUGGAAGGUUAAGAGGAGAGGUUAGCGCAAGCGAAGCUUUGAAUUUAAGCCCCAGUAAACGGCGGCCGUAACUAUAACGGUCCUAAGGUAGCGAAAUUCCUUGUCGGGUAAGUUCCGACCCGCACGAAAGGCGUAAUGAUUUGAGCACUGUCUCGACAAUGCACCCGGUGAAAUUGAAGUACCAGUGAAGAUGCUGGUUACCCGCGCCAGGACGGAAAGACCCCAUGGAGCUUUACUCCAGCUUGAUACUGGGAUCCGAUGCUGUAUGUACAGGAUAGGUGGGAGGCUGAGAAGCGGUGACGCCAGUUGCCGCAGAGCCGAUGUUGGGAUACCACCCUUGCAGUAUUGGAUUUCUAACCAGCUGCCGUGACCCGGCAGUGGGACAAUGUCUGGCGGGGAGUUUGACUGGGGCGGUCGCCUCCGAAAGGGUAUCGGAGGCGCUCAAAGGUUCCCUCAGAAUGGUCGGAAACCAUUUGAAGAGUGCAAAGGCAGAAGGGAGCUUGACUGCGACACCGACGGGUGGAGCAGGUACGAAAGUAGGACUUAGUGAUCCGGUGGUAUAAAGUGGGAUUGCCAUCGCUCAACGGAUAAAAGCUACCCUGGGGAUAACAGGCUUAUCACUCCCAAGAGUUCACAUCGACGGAGUGGUUUGGCACCUCGAUGUCGGCUCAUCGCAUCCUGGGGCUGUAGCAGGUCCCAAGGGUUGGGCUGUUCGCCCAUUAAAGCGGUACGCGAGCUGGGUUCAGAACGUCGUGAGACAGUUCGGUCCCUAUCCGGCGCGGGCGGAGGAUAUUUGAGAGGAGCUGUCCUUAGUACGAGAGGACCGGGAUGGACGGACCACUGGUGUAUCUGUUGUCGACCAACGGCAUGGCAGAGUAGCCAAGUCUGGAAGGGAUAAACGCUGAAGGCAUCUAAGCGUGAAGCCCCCCUCAAGAUGAGAUAUCCCUCCUUCGGGAGUAAGACCCCUUGAAGACUACAAGGUAGAUAGGGCAGAGGUGGAAGUGUGGCAACACAUGGAGCUGACUGUUACUAAUAGGUCGAGGGCUUGAUUAA
This 1804-nucleotide ribosomal RNA is filed under the name human gut metagenome. RNAcentral describes it as "bacterial LSU rRNA". It matches the Rfam family "Bacterial large subunit ribosomal RNA", at positions 1093 to 2925 of the family's 2925-position model. The record is from RNAcentral.